RNAcentral lists this ribosomal RNA (459 nucleotides) under uncultured bacterium. RNAcentral describes it as "bacterial SSU rRNA". It matches the Rfam family "Bacterial small subunit ribosomal RNA", at positions 30 to 479 of the family's 1533-position model. The record is from RNAcentral.
AUUGAACGCUGGCGGCAGGCCUAACACAUGCAAGUCGAACGGUAGCACAGAGAGCUUGCUCUCGGGUGACGAGUGGCGGACGGGUGAGUAAUGUCUGGGAAACUGCCUGAUGGAGGGGGAUAACUACUGGAAACGGUAGCUAAUACCGCAUAACGUCGCAAGACCAAAGAGGGGGACCUUCGGGCCUCUUGCCAUCAGAUGUGCCCAGAUGGGAUUAGCUAGUAGGUGGGGUAACGGCUCACCUAGGCGACGAUCCCUAGCUGGUCUGAGAGGAUGACCAGCCACACUGGAACUGAGACACGGUCCAGACUCCUACGGGAGGCAGCAGUGGGGAAUAUUGCACAAUGGGCGCAAGCCUGAUGCAGCCAUGCCGCGUGUAUGAAGAAGGCCUUCGGGUUGUAAAGUACUUUCAGCGGGGAGGAAGGUGUUGUGGUUAAUAACCGCAGCAAUUGACGUACC